GCAGUCGAACGGUGAUAGCAAUAUCAUAGUGGCGCACGGGUGCGUAACACGUAUGCAACCUACCUAUUAUUGGGGGAUAGCCUUUGGAAACGGAGAUUAAUACCGCAUAAUACGAUUGACUGGCAUCGGUUGAUUGUUAAAGCUUCGGCGAUAAUAGAUGGGCAUGCGUCCAAUUAGUUAGUUGGUUAGGUAACGGCUGACCAAGACGAUGAUUGGUAGGGGAUCUGAGAGGAUAAUCCCCCACACUGGCACUGAGAUACGGGCCAGACUCCUACGGGAGGCAGCAGUAGGGAAUAUUGGGCAAUGGGCGGAAGCCUGACCCAGCCAUGCCGCGUGCAGGAAGAAGGCGUUAUGCGUUGUAAACUGCUUUUUUAUAGGAAGAAGGAUCCCUUGCGAGGGAAGGUGACGGUACUAUAAGAAUAAGCACCGGCUAACUCCGUGCCAGCAGCCGCGGUAAUACGGAGGGUGCAAGCGUUGUCCGGAUUUAUUGGGUUUAAAGGGUGCGUAGGCGGUUUAUUAAGUCAGUGGUGAAAGACGGUCGCUCAACGAUUGCAGUGCCAUUGAUACUGGUAGACUUGAGUGGGAUUGAGGUAGCUGGAAUGGAUAGUGUAGCGGUGAAAUGCAUAGAUAUUAUCCAGAACACCGAUUGCGAAGGCAGGUUACUAAGUCUUAACUGACGCUGAG
Molecule: ribosomal RNA, 684 nt
Filed under: uncultured bacterium
Lineage: Bacteria
Description: bacterial SSU rRNA
Rfam family: Bacterial small subunit ribosomal RNA
Source: RNAcentral